Long non-coding RNA from Carassius auratus (goldfish), 1076 nucleotides. RefSeq lists it as uncharacterized. The transcript has 4 exons. NCBI's taxonomy places the organism in Eukaryota, Metazoa, Chordata, Actinopteri, Cypriniformes, Cyprinidae. The record is from RefSeq and is a predicted model, not a curated record.
UGUCUGCCACUUUAAAUGAUCAAGCUUUUGAAAUGUGCAUUUUGAUUGGCUGUUUAAUGUUCAUCAGCUGGAAAAUAUAUUCCACUGAUGUUGUUCCUCUGUGUCAUUAAGUAUGGACUCAUCCUUGGUAUGAAGAGGUCUUUAAACUGCUUACAACAAUCCUGCUGCAUGUUAUAGUGUAGAAAAUAAUUGAGAAUAAUAUAGCUUGAAGAUACAGCUUUCUUCCCUCUCAUUUUGUUAAACUCAAACGCAAGAUUUUGCCUUUCUUUGCUUGUUUGUCUUCAUCUUAGUCCUUUACUCUCUCCACUCACUCACACAUUCUCUCUUGCUCUGUUGUAAGGUACAAACAGAGCGGAUGGUUGCAUGAUGGCCUCUUUCGGGUUUGUCAACAGAAUGUCUACUAGUGUGGCUCAGCAAGUUCCUGUCAUGAUCAGCCCUCUCCAAGAAAGCUGAAGAGCAAAAACACAAAGAACAUCAGUCCUGUUGGGGAUGAGGAAUGAACAUGGCUCUAUUGUGCCCAAACAGAAAAGAGUGAAAAGGUGCUCAUCCCCAUUGAUGUGUCUGUAUUCAAGCAAUGCAUUAGUACAGCAUAUGAUGUUGAUCUCUAUUCAAGUCAGCAAUUAUCAUUUUUCACAUAUACAUCUUUUUAUAAGUCCUAGAAUGAACAAAUCAUCAGGGCAUCAUUUCUGGAAUUUGGGCAGAAAAUGACUGAAUAUGAAAGACUGCAGUAGAAGGAAAGCUGGUACUGAGAACAUUUGUCUUCACUCCAGACUAAAGAGAAGCGGGUCUGAGGCCAGAGAUGGAGGAGUCAAUGGUCACCAAAUGCAGCGCUGCAGCCUGAAACUGUGAAGACUGAAAUCCCAAACAGCUGUGUGACUGCACAGAUGUUACGGCCAUAAAAGAAACUUCACAACUGAGAGCCCAUACCUCCAACAACCUUCAACAGGAAUCAAUGGACAUCUACGCAAGGUUUUUCUUUUGUUGAGGACCGUCAGAGACUCCAGCCACACGAGCCAUGGAUUGCUCUCAACAUCACCAUCAGACAGACAUUAUCACAGAACCAGCACCAGCAGACU